RNAcentral lists this ribosomal RNA (497 nucleotides) under uncultured bacterium. RNAcentral's name for it is "partial 16S ribosomal RNA". It matches the Rfam family "Bacterial small subunit ribosomal RNA", at positions 28 to 507 of the family's 1533-position model. The record is from RNAcentral.
GAUGAACGCUGGCGGCGUGCCUAAUACAUGCAAGUCGAGCGAACAGAUGAGGAGCUUGCUCCUCUGACGUUAGCGGCGGACGGGUGAGUAACACGUGGAUAACCUACCUAUAAGACUGGGAUAACUUCGGGAAACCGGAGCUAAUACCGGAUAAUAUAUUGAACCGCAUGGUUCAAUAGUGAAAGACGGUUUUGCUGUCACUUAUAGAUGGAUCCGCGCCGCAUUAGCUAGUUGGUAAGGUAACGGCUUACCAAGGCAACGAUGCGUAGCCGACCUGAGAGGGUGAUCGGCCACACUGGAACUGAGACACGGUCCAGACUCCUACGGGAGGCAGCAGUAGGGAAUCUUCCGCAAUGGGCGAAAGCCUGACGGAGCAACGCCGCGUGAGUGAUGAAGAUCUUCGGAUCGUAAAACUCUGUUAGUAGGGAAGAACAAAUGUGAAAGUAACUAUGCACGUCUUGACGGUACCUAAUCAGAAAGCCACGGCUAACUACGUG